CGCGCUCAUUCAGGAACCCGCGCGCCGCGGCGCAGAUCCCAGGACGCAGCGCGGCUGCGCGCUGCCCAGCUGGGGGUUUUGAGGAAGCUUGAGUGAGCCCAGGGUCACCCGGGUGCGGCACGGACCUUCUGCACCCCGCCUGCGGAGCGAAUCUGGGCUGCAGGCGGGCGCACCUAGGUGGGGUCACCUGCAGCCGCAUACCUGGCGGUGACUUGAAAGGACUUGGCUUCAGCUCCGCGAGUUUGCCAUUGUUAAGCCCUUAAAUCGCCACUCUUCCGAAAGCGGCUCCAGAAUUCCGGGGGCGCUCGGACUUCCCUUCCCCCACACCGCAUGCUUUUGGGGCGCGUAUGGCAGCCCAUGUGCUGCCGCAGCUCCGCCCGGGCCACGCGGCGCCGAUCCUGGGUACCCCCAGAGCUGGGAGAGGACCCGGGCUAACUACAGUCCUGAAAUCCACACAGGACGGCCACGCGUGGGGACACGGGGGGGGGGCCGCAGCUCGCGCCCCAGCAGAGAAUGUCAGUUAGUGUCAGCCACACACGAAACCUAGUUCUCCAGUCGAGGGUCGGGAGGAAGAGACACCCAGCCCCGCUGCGGGCGAGGAGUGCGCUCCAGUUUAAAAAGCAAACUAACAGGAGGCCGGGAAGUUGGCGGCCGUGGUUCCCAAACUGCAGCAGAGUGUCACACAGCCCUCCCUGGCCAGGGGCAGCUUUGGGCGGAUCUCUGUCCCCCUCUGUAGAAGGGUGAGUGAUGGUUUCCCUCGCCAGGCCACAGCCAAGAGUAAUUAAGGUAAUGUGUGUGAGGCAUUUAGCAGAGGGCCUGGCAUAUGUCAGGGCCUGUUCAGUUCAUUCAUGUAUUUGUUCUCAUGCAGAACGGAGGCCAUGUGCUGCAUGCAGUAUGUGGAAUUAAUUAAACAUUUCAUUUUAUAUUCAGAAAGAGGAUUUUAAAAAUGACUUUACGAUGAAUCAGUUCACUUCUCUUCGCUGACUUCCCCUGAGCUGUUUAUGGACAGGAGAUUGACAUCAUAGAAGACACUUUUAAAUUAAAAUGAAAGUUCAGCCACAU
This 1062-nucleotide long non-coding RNA is filed under the name Fukomys damarensis (Damara mole-rat). Its description in RNAcentral is "lncRNA (ENSFDAG00000033559.1)". Lineage: Eukaryota; Metazoa; Chordata; Mammalia; Rodentia; Bathyergidae. The record is from RNAcentral.